Molecule: long non-coding RNA, 4072 nt
Organism: Corythoichthys intestinalis (scribbled pipefish)
Lineage: Eukaryota; Metazoa; Chordata; Actinopteri; Syngnathiformes; Syngnathidae
Exons: 4
Source: RefSeq, a predicted model, not a curated record
UCGUGGUGUCUUUAAUUCUGCUCUCGCCCCCAGUUAGGGUUUUGCUGUUAAAAAAAAAAAAAUUUAAAUGCCCUCCUGUUCAAAAUUUUUCUUCCCCCAGAAAAUUGAGAUUUUAAGCUCUCCAAUGAUGUAUCACGCACGUGUAACCCUGAUAAAAGUACAGCUCAUGGUUUUUAUUAAGAACUGUAUUUUAGAUGACCGUAUUGAGGUAAAAUGUCCACUAGAUGGCACUAAAUAAUCAGGCAUUCCACUAAAAGUGAGGGCAUGAGCGUUGCAUUUUGGGAAAUGGAGAUGCUAUGAACGCUAAUGGAGAUACUGCUAAUGCUAGCGCGACCUAGACUCAGACUAAAAAGAAACUGACAAGUUCCAGACUGCUUUAAUGGGCGAAUUACUUUUGAGUUAAUCUGAGUGAUACAAGACUCCGGAGAGCACCACUAAAACUUCCACCACGGAGGCUCCAGGCACUAUUUUUGGGCACAAAGACGGAGGAUUGGGGUGAAAUCCACGUUCUCAGGCAAAACAUAAGUUUUAACCCAAAACAUUGCACUCUGAACUGGAAUGAUGAGCGUGAACUACCCUGAAAUACACAGGUGUCUGAACUGUAUAAGUGCAUUGGGAGACAGCCGUUUUGAUGAAUCCACAAUCACCCGAGCGACCUUACCUGUGCGACUGAAGGGAGGACAGCGAUGCGGACCAUCUGGCGACCGGAGGCGACAGUCUCUUGCUCCCCUCUCUUCGGAGGGGAGGGGCUUGAGGUUGGUCUUCUAUUAAUUGAAUGACGACGGCGGGAGGAAGUUACCAAGCGAGCGUGGCGUGGGAGGGGGGCACCGCGCUCGUUAUCGCUUUACCAACUAAUGUUGAUAAAUGGCAACUGUCACGCACUAUGAUGGACGUCGAACCCAUUCCAACAAUCCAUUGACAUUUAACACAUAAAAAAAAAAAAAAAAAAAAAAGAAUUAUGGAAGCGUAUUCCUGCCACACCCCAAGAAAAAAAUCCAGUAUUACUUUUUGACAUAAUUUUGUGUAAAAAUUUGAAAAAUACGUAAAAAUGUUAACGUAUCAAAACGUGAAAUUAUGUGAACCUAUGUAAAAAUGUGUAAAUUAUGUAAAAACAUGAAAAUAUAGUAUAUAUAUAUAUUUUUAAAUGUGUUGUAUAAAAAGGUGAAAAAUCUAAAGAUGAAAAUUAUGUUAAUGAUGUAAAAACAUUAUGUAAAAAUGUGAAAAAAUGUGCUAUCGUGUAAAAACGUGAAAAAUGUAAAGAUGAAAAUUAUGGAAGUGAUAUAAUGUAAAAAUGUUAUGUUAAAAAAUAUGGAAAAAUGUACUACAGUGUAAAAAUGUGAAAAAUAUGUAAAAAUGUGUUAUGUAAAAACGAGAAAUCAUGUAAAAAUGUGCUAUUGUGUAAACAUGAAAAUUGUGAAAACGUGGAUAAAUAUGUAAAAACGUGUUAUGUAAAAACGUAAUAAUUUUCAUGUAAAAACUUAGAAAAUGUGAUGUAAUGUGAAAAUGUAAAUAUGUGUAAAUUAUGUAAAAACGUGAAAAAUCUAAAGAUGAAAAUUAUGUUGGUGACAUGGUUUUUAAAAACGUUAUGAAAACUGAAAAAAUGUGCUAUCGUGUAAAAAUGUGAAAAAUAUGUAAAAACGUGAAAAGUAUCAUCUAAAAGUGUGAAGACAUGUAAAAAUGUGCUAUCGUGUAAAAAUGUGAAAAAUGUAAAGAUGAAAAUUAUGUAAGUGAUAUAAUGUAAAAAUGUUAUGUUGAAAAAAUAAAAAAUGUGCUACAAUGUAAAAAUGUGAAAAAUAUGUAAAAAUGUGUUAUAGUGUAAAAACGAGAAAUCAUGUAAAAAUGUGCUAUUGUGUAAACAUGAAAAUUGUGAAAACGUGGAAAAAUAUGUAAAAACGUGUUAUCAUAUAAAAACGUAAUUAUGUAAAAAUGUGCUAUCGUGUAAAAACGUGAAAAAUGUAAAGAUGAAAAUUAUGUAAGUGAUAUAAUGUAAAAAUGUUAUGUUGAAAAAAUGUAAAAAUGUGCUAGUGUAAAAAUGUGAAAAAUAUGUAAAAACGUGUUAUAGUGUAAAAACGAGAAAUCAUGUAAAAAUGUGCUAUUGUGUAAACAUGAAAAUUGUGAAAACGUGGAAAAAUUUGUAAAAACGUGUUAUCAUAUUGUGGCAACACGUGGUAAUUGGAAGAUUAAAAAUUUGCCAGACAACGCCACCCUGGAUUUGUCCCAGGGAAAAGAUUUUAAAUUUAAGGUCAGCAAGGUUCGUGCUGCAAGGAGAGCAAGAGGCAGUUCUGCGUGGUACAAAUUGUUUAUUUUGUGAAUUAAAAUAAAUAAAUAAAAACUUCCAACAUAAAGGGAUAAACCCACGGGGCUGGGACUUACCAGUGGUAGGAGGGGCGAACCCCAAGAACACUACAAAACAAACCCAAAACCAAAACAAGAUGUCACUGCACACCAGGGGUCGCCAAAACUCGCACGCCACCAACCACCGGAAGCCCCAAGCCCUAAAACAACGGAAAACGAAACAAUGAGGAUCAUAAAUAAAUUGGCAACAAUCUCAUUUGGUGAAUUACAGAAAGGCAAAAUAAAAUAGCGACUAAAAUUGGACCCGUAUCCGGAAGUCCAAGGGACGUGGUACGUGCGAUACCAGUUCUUUAAACGCGGUAGAGCCGUGCGUGCACGCAGCCAGACAGCCCCGCAAGGUGACGUCCACUCAGCACGGCGAUGACAUCCGCUCCGCCCAACCCGAAAGAAUUGGGCAUGAGCUUUUAAUGUAGGCAAAGCAGCAGUGUCUCGUAUUAGCAGUCGCCACGCAACCUGGCCAGCCUGCAAUCACUCCAUGCUAAAAGAAAAUUAAAAAAACGAAUCGUGUUAACUAUUUUAGACCAGCGUUGAUUAAAAGACGCCAACUUACCGAUCCGAGUCAGUGAUCCUGCAUGACAAAGUUAGGAGGUGGAUUCAACUUUGUCUCACGCUAAAUAGCGCCAGAUGUCACGCAUUUACACCAACGGCAGCAGGAGGAGAUUCUCGCUGGUCGUCACAAAACUAAAGCGAUCGGUGCAUUUUAUUCAACAAAAAGUUCGCAGCCAUGCGCGUUCUUACCUGGCCGACAGCUGAAGGAGCAUAAGUGAGGCAAUAGGAUGUGGGAAACCUCGACACCAAAGAGCAAUUGAUGGGGUCAAGAUAGUUCCCUCCUUAUAUAAGAGGGUUCUACCAGCUGAUUGGCAUGCAGGGCUGAUUAGCCCAAAGUGACAACAGAUGGACAAUCUGACCCUACUGCCACAAUAUAAAAACGUAAUAAUUAUGUAAAAACAUGAACUUAGAAAAACGUGAAAUUAUGUGAAAAUAUGCAUAUGUGUAAAUUAUGUAAAAACCUGGAAAAUCUAAAGAUGAAAAUUAUGUUAGGGAUAUGAUGUAAAAACGUGUUAUGUAAAAAUGUGAAUACACAUAAAAAUGUGCUAUCGUGUAAAAAUGUGAAAAAUAUGUAAAAACGUGAAAAGUAUCAUCUAAAAGGGAAAACAUUUAAAAAUGUGCUAUCGUGUAAAAACGGGAAAAAUGUAAAGAAAUUAAUUAUGUAAGUGAUAUGUAAACACGUGUUAUGUUAAAAAAUAUGUAAAAAUGUGCUAGUGUAAAAAUGUGAAAAAUAUGUAAAAAUGUGUUAUCGUGUAAAAACGUAAUUAUCAUGUAAAAACAUUAACUUAGAAAAACGUGAAAUGUGAAAAUAUGUAAAUAUGUGUAAAUUAUGUAAAAACCUAAAAAAUCUAAAGAUGAAAAUUAUGUGUCAUAUGAUGUAAAAACGUCUUAUGUAAAAUUGUGAAAACAUGUAAAAAUGUGCUAUCGUGUAAAAAUGUGAAAAGUAUCUACAAGUGUGAAAACAUGUAAAAAUGUGCUAUCGUGUAAAAACGUGAAAAAUGUAAAGAUGAAAAUUGUGAUAUAAUGUAACAAAUGUGUUAAAAAAUAUGUACAAAUGUGCUACAGUGUAAAAAAUGUGAAAAAUAUGUAACUAGUGAUGCACGAUAAUGCAUUUUUCAGCCGAUACCGAUAACCGAUAAUUUCCUCCUCGUUUCAACCGAUAAUGUCA